UGGGGAAUAUUGCACAAUGGGCGCAAGCCUGAUGCAGCCAUGCCGCGUGUAUGAAGAAGGCCUUCGGGUUGUAAAGUACUUUCAGCGGGGAGGAAGGGAGUAAAGUUAAUACCUUUGCUCAUUGACGUUACCCGCAGAAGAAGCACCGGCUAACUCCGUGCCAGCAGCCGCGGUAAUACGGAGGGUGCAAGCGUUAAUCGGAAUUACUGGGCGUAAAGCGCACGCAGGCGGUUUGUUAAGUCAGAUGUGAAAUCCCCGGGCUCAACCUGGGAACUGCAUCUGAAACUGGCAGGCUUGAGUCUCGUAGAGGGGGGUAGAAUUCCAUGUGUAGCGGUGAAAUGCGUAGAGAUGUGGAGGAAUACCGGUAGCGAAGGCGGCCCCCUGGACAAAGACUGACGCUCAGGUGCGAAAGCGUGGGGAGCAAACAGG
RNAcentral lists this ribosomal RNA (429 nucleotides) under Chloroflexota bacterium. RNAcentral describes it as "Chloroflexi bacterium partial 16S ribosomal RNA". It matches the Rfam family "Bacterial small subunit ribosomal RNA", at positions 355 to 776 of the family's 1533-position model. Lineage: Bacteria; Bacillati; Chloroflexota. The record is from RNAcentral.